RNAcentral lists this ribosomal RNA (468 nucleotides) under uncultured bacterium. RNAcentral describes it as "partial 16S ribosomal RNA". It matches the Rfam family "Bacterial small subunit ribosomal RNA", at positions 28 to 507 of the family's 1533-position model. The record is from RNAcentral.
GACGAACGCUGGCGGCGUGCUUAACACAUGCAAGUCGAACGGAAAGGCCCUGCUUUUGUGGGGUGCUCGAGUGGCGAACGGGUGAGUAACACGUGAGUAACCUGCCCUUGACUUUGGGAUAACUUCAGGAAACUGGGGCUAAUACCGGAUAGGAGCUCCUGCUGCAUGGUGGGGGUUGGAAAGUUUCGGCGGUUGGGGAUGGACUCGCGGCUUAUCAGCUUGUUGGUGGGGUAGUGGCUUACCAAGGCUUUGACGGGUAGCCGGCCUGAGAGGGUGACCGGCCACAUUGGGACUGAGAUACGGCCCAGACUCCUACGGGAGGCAGCAGUGGGGAAUAUUGCACAAUGGGCGGAAGCCUGAUGCAGCAACGCCGCGUGUGGGAUGACGGCCUUCGGGUUGUAAACCGCUUUCGCCUGUGACGAAGCGUGAGUGACGGUAAUGGGUAAAGAAGCACCGGCUAACUACGUG